RNAcentral lists this ribosomal RNA (530 nucleotides) under uncultured bacterium. Its description in RNAcentral is "bacterial SSU rRNA". It matches the Rfam family "Bacterial small subunit ribosomal RNA", at positions 777 to 1304 of the family's 1533-position model. The record is from RNAcentral.
AAUAGAUACCCCGGUAGUCCACGCCCUAAACGAUGCGAACUGGAUGUUGGUCUCAACUCGGAGAUCAGUGUCGAAGCAAACGCGUUAAGUUCGCCGCCUGGGGAGUACGGUCGCAAGACUGAAACUCAAAGGAAUUGACGGGGGCCCGCACAAGCGGUGGAGUAUGUGGUUUAAUUCGAUGCAACGCGAAGAACCUUACCUGGCCUUGACAUGUCCGGAAUCCUGCAGAGAUGCGGGAGUGCCUUCGGGAAUCGGAACACAGGUGCUGCAUGGCUGUCGUCAGCUCGUGUCGUGAGAUGUUGGGUUAAGUCCCGCAACGAGCGCAACCCUUGUCCUUAGUUGCCAGCGAGUAAAGUCGGGAACUCUAAGGAGACUGCCGGUGACAAACCGGAGGAAGGUGGGGAUGACGUCAAGUCCUCAUGGCCCUUACGGCCAGGGGCUACACACGUACUACAAUGGUCGGUACAGAGGGUUGCAAUACCGCGAGGUGGAGCCAAUCCCAGAAAGCCGAUCCCAGUCCGGAUUGGAGU